This is an RNase P RNA of 500 nucleotides. It matches the Rfam family "Archaeal RNase P". Rfam says of the family: Ribonuclease P (RNase P) is a ubiquitous endoribonuclease, found in archaea, bacteria and eukarya as well as chloroplasts and mitochondria. Its best characterised activity is the generation of mature 5'-ends of tRNAs by cleaving the 5'-leader elements of precursor-tRNAs.
GGGAGAGAGAGACCGGCUGCCGCGGUGGUCGCGUUGGCAACGACGCGACCACAGUUCCGUUGCGCGACUCUCCGAGUCGGGCAACGCUCGCGAGGAAAGUCCCCCCACCCGUUCGGGCGGGUGACCGGGCGCAAGUCCGGAGCGGGAGACCGCUGGCUCUGGAACAGAAACGACACGUCUCGGCCCGACCGAUGACGCGCGCGAACCCGACCGCAAGGAAGGGAAGGUAACCCGCAGAGGGAAGCGCGGACCGGCGCACGACGUGCGGUCGACGAUCGUGGUUCAAGACCACGGAUCGCGAACGGGACUCUCGUGUCACGCACGGGAAUCCGAAUCGUCGCGAUCGACCGCGCCGACGGCCGAGGAUCGAUGGAACGGCGAACCCUCACCGGUGCAAGUCCGUCCCGUGGUAGCCCGAACGUCCCGCGGCUUCGCCGCGGACGGGGCGGACGCUCAGCCGAAUGCCGGUACGAACAGAAGGGGGCUUACUCCUCUCACCU